GUCUAUGGCCAUGCCACCCUGAAUACACCCAAUCUCGUCUGAUCUCGGAAGCUAAGCAAGGUCAGGCCUGGUUAGUACUUAGAUGGGAGACCACUUAGGAAUACCAGGUGCUGUAGGCU
This 119-nucleotide ribosomal RNA is filed under the name Pteropus alecto (black flying fox). The record is from RNAcentral. Lineage: Eukaryota; Metazoa; Chordata; Mammalia; Chiroptera; Pteropodidae.